RNAcentral lists this ribosomal RNA (323 nucleotides) under uncultured Bacillota bacterium. RNAcentral describes it as "bacterial SSU rRNA". It matches the Rfam family "Bacterial small subunit ribosomal RNA", at positions 28 to 351 of the family's 1533-position model. Lineage: Bacteria; Bacillati; Bacillota. The record is from RNAcentral.
GACGAACGCUGGCGGCGUGCCUAACACAUGCAAGUCGAGCGAUGAAGCCUUUCGGGGCUGAUUAGCGGCGGACGGGUGAGUAACACGUGGGUAACCUGCCUCAUAGAGGGGGAUAGCCUCCCGAAAGGGAGAUUAAUACCGCAUAACAUAUUUUGAUCGCAUGAUUGAAAUAUCAAAGGAGUAAUCCGCUAUGAGAUGGACCCCGCGGCGCAUUAGCUAGUUGGUGAGGUAACGGCUCACCAAGGCGACGAUGCGUAGCCGACCUGAGAGGGUGAUCGGCCACAUUGGAACUGAGACACGGUCCAGACUCCUACGGGUGGCAG